RNAcentral lists this long non-coding RNA (1305 nucleotides) under Brassica napus (rape). RNAcentral's name for it is "long non-coding RNA (BNAP_LNC005713)". The record is from RNAcentral. Lineage: Eukaryota; Viridiplantae; Streptophyta; Magnoliopsida; Brassicales; Brassicaceae.
CUACUUUCUCUUCUCUCCUACAUCGAUAUGUUUUUUGCCCUGGUGAUAAAAGAUUCCAGUGACGCUCAGAUCUGGUCGUUAUAACCGUGAUAACGAGGCUUCGAUCUGUAUCUCUGGUGUAGAGCCGAGUUGAUAAGGGCAGGGGAGGUUUGUAAGGGGUCGGAUUUUAGGUUGGCUUAGGGUUUGGAGUUCAAAUUUUCUCCUGUUGGUGAGUUUCAAACCCUAGCGGAGGCGGUGCGUGAGGCUGGGCAUUGGUGGCUCUGUUGCUCUCUAGGAUGAUAGGAGUAACGUCCGGUCUUUCCUGUCACAUGUCCUUCGUUUAUGCUGCUCUUUUAGCUCGAUCUUAGACUUUUAUGGUCUGGAUUUUAUUUUGGAAAAGAGGUCAGAUUGCUUCGUCUCCCUCUCAGCUUGCUCGGGAUGCUGUGCUAGUUUCGAAAUUGUUUUCUGGUGCGCGGUGAAAGACUAAACCGACUCUGAUGUAGGUUAUUACUUCUCCCAUCGAAAUUGGUAUGGUGAUUUUCAGGCGGGUCUCAGGUUAUUGGGUAUUUUUGGCCUAUGUUUCAGAUUCUUCAGUACUUUUGUCGAUGGAUCCCAAAGCUUUGGCGGGUCUUGUCUAGCUUUGUUUUGGUCGAGGUUGGACUGUGGUCAUGCAGUCUAUGAUUAGUUGGAGCUUGCUUGGUUUGGAGGCAUUGUUGGAUAGUGGCUAAUUAGGAUUUUUGGGAUGGUUAUCCAAUAUGUGAUCCUUAGCUUUGUUUUGUGUCCUAUAUAGUGACACGUUGUCUUUGGGGUUCUAUUGUCGGUUUGACUUGUUGCUCGACCUCUGAUUUGAUUGUUCGAUGUUUAGUGUGAAGGUUCGAUUAGCAGAAGCUGUGCUGUCCCUUGGUUUUUAACCGACGGGUUUUCCGGAUUUCUUAGUAAGGAACUGUGGAGCUUUUGCUCAAUUGUGUUCAGUCUUUGAGUAGUUGAUUGUCAACCGUCUUCUCCUUCGUUGACUGCUCGGGGUGUUGGAUACGUUAUCUCGUGGCUUCCUUGAGUUGAAGCUUUUUCUCGAGUGGCGAUGUCUCAUGUUCUUGGAGCUCUUAUCUCAUCUCAAAUAAUUUGGAUCGUUAACGCUUUUCUCGCUCAUCCUUUCUUCCAUUAUUGUCCGGCUUUGCAUCUCUAAUGAUUAUUUGUAUGCUUCAAAAGAUUUUAGUGAUCGCCUCCUCGCCCUGUUUAUGUUUAGUUAUGUUUUUUAGACUUGAUUCCGAAAAGUUGUGUUUACCUUGUCGGCUUAUGGCUCUGGAAGGGUUUUGUACCUUUGCCGGC